This 544-nucleotide unclassified non-coding RNA is filed under the name Artemisia palmeri. Its description in RNAcentral is "partial external transcribed spacer". The record is from RNAcentral. Lineage: Eukaryota; Viridiplantae; Streptophyta; Magnoliopsida; Asterales; Asteraceae.
UUCCUGAUUUUCCCAUCGUUCGGGGCAUUCUGGGGCUGUUUUGGCUAUUGGUUGCUUGUUUGGUCUUGAGCCGAACGGGUGGCUUCUAGCCUGGUGGCUUUGGGGAUGUUGUCCGUAAAGGUGGAUGAGUGGUUUUUGGUUUGUCACGUGUGGUUGGCUGCGGCGUUUGCAACAACUUCCAUGCUUUCAGACCUCUUCAGUUGUGCGGCAAGGCUUGUAUCGCCUUGCCGUAUUGCGGGUUUUCUGUGUUGAAUACCUAAUCAAUGGUAUCGGUUGGAUUGAUCAAUGUUUCAUUUCGUCUGUCGUCGCAUUCGUGGCGUGAGACGAACCUUGAUGCGGUCUCUUUGGUCCACCUCGGCGAAGCACAUGCUUUGACGUUGUGGCACAUUGAGCGUUGCUUGGUCUCUUGUAUACGGAACAUAUAGUGGGCACGGAUCUAACGAUUCUUCUUUGCCCUCAUGUUAGCRUAACGCUUCUCUUACACGACUUGCUCCACGUUUUAGCUCGUACGGACGUGGUUCUAUGUCGAAGAGGAAUGCUACCU